RNAcentral lists this long non-coding RNA (1407 nucleotides) under Canis lupus dingo (dingo). Its description in RNAcentral is "lncRNA (ENSCAFG00020019881.1)". Lineage: Eukaryota; Metazoa; Chordata; Mammalia; Carnivora; Canidae. The record is from RNAcentral.
AUGCGUCCGUGCUCAGGGGACCCCAGAGCUCUGGGGCCCGGAGGCUGGCCUGAAGCCCGUCGCUCACAUCCACGCGGAGUGGCCCUUGCCGCUGGUUUGGCCACUACUGUUGCAAUAAAGCUCAAAUGUCAGCUGGUCCCUCCAAGACUGCCCGUGAGUCAGAACUCUGCAGCGCAGUCGAUGACUUGUGUGACGCGGUGGGAGGCAGAAAUUUCGAAUCGUGCCACCGUCAGCGUCUGCACAAAGGAGCCUCUUCCUUUGUGUGGUCUUGCCCCCGCCGGGCCUCUCUCGCAUGAUGCUUGGGGAGAGGGGUUUGCUUCAGAGCUCGAGCAUUCUUACCUCACUCAGAGAGGCAUUUUUCCUCUGUCCAAGUCUCCAAAACAAUCCAGCGACUUGUCGUGGCUGGUGACCUUCUGCUGCAGUAAUUCCCUCCUUUGGGCAUUGAAAUUGAUUUUCUUCCUCGUGGCGUGUAAAGAUUCAAAGCGUGCCCCUUGCUCCCUGUCCCAGGGGGCUUCCUCCAUCAGCGGCGGAGUCGGGGACCAGGCAAGUGCUGGCCACCAGUGUGCGGGGCGGGGUGGGGGGGCUCCGCGGAGCAUCUGCCCGGCCCCUGAGCCACGUCUAUGCAGCCCGGGAUGUGGGAGCCGGCACGAGAUCUGCUGGGUCAGAGCGGGCUGGCUUGGCCACAGCUCUCUUGCCAAACUGGAUUUGUCUUUUAAGGAUUUUAUUUGUUUAUUCACGAGAGACACACAGAGAGAGAGAGAAGGCAGAGACCCAGGCAGAGGGAGAAGCAGGCUCCCUGCGGCGAGCACGACGCAGGACUUGAUCCCAGGACCCCAGGGUCAUGUCCUGGGCCAAAGGCAGAUGCUCAACCCUUGUGCUGCCCAGGUGCACCCCUCCCCCCCAAACUGGAUUUUAAUAAAGAAGAACAAGUGGCCCUUUAUCUUUCAGCCUUGGAAAUUCUGUAUUUGCGGGGCCCCCAGAGAACUCCCCGUGGCUUCUCACCCCGGGGGGAGGGUGGUGACUGGCACGCACUGGGCCCAGUGGGAUCGCUCACUAGGCCCCGUGCCCCCCACCCCAGCAUCUCGGCUAGGACGCCUCCCAAAGCCGAUCUUCACCCUCCCGGCCCCCAGCCCCGCCCCAACCUUCGGGCCUGGCCCUGCCCACAGCCCGCUCUCCCCAUGUGCCCCCUCUCUCUCCUUUCCUGGUGACCAGGCCAUCCCCUUUCUCAGGGGUGCAGGGCAGAUCCCAGGUGUUGGGGGGCAGGACAGAAGUUAUGUAGAGGUGCUGGGUUCGUGUGGCACCUCAGUCCCUGGGCUUUUCCAGAAGAUACCAAGAGGGCAGCCCCAGCCAUUCUAUCGCCCCCAUCUGUGCCGCUCCCCACCUUUGCCCUCUCCGCUGCCACGGUGA